RNAcentral lists this ribosomal RNA (272 nucleotides) under uncultured bacterium. RNAcentral's name for it is "partial 16S ribosomal RNA". It matches the Rfam family "Archaeal small subunit ribosomal RNA", at positions 474 to 745 of the family's 1478-position model. The record is from RNAcentral.
UACCUGCAGCCCCAAGUGGUGCUCGUUAUUAUUGGGUCUAAAACGUCCGUAGUCGGCUGAGUAGAUGCCCGGGUAAAUCGAAGCGCUUAACGUUUCGAAUUCCGGGUAGACCGCUCGGCUAGGGAGUGGGAGAGGUGCGAGGUACUCUGAGGGUAGGGGUAAAAUCCUGUAAUCCUUGGAGGACCACCAGUGGCGAAGGCGUCGCACUAGAACACGUCCGACGAUCAGGGACGAAGCCCUGGGGCGCAAACGGGAUUAGAUACCCGUGUAGU